GUUUUUUUGCCAAAAAAAAAAAAAAAUAUAAAAUCUACUUUUGUCCAUAUUGAAAAGGGAUGAUUGAACUUUUUCAGCCUGGAGGCAGUCUGGUUUUUAUCAGUGGUAUAAAUAUUGCCACAAAGCUAUUCCAUUGGUUUCAAUUUUAUUUACCAAUUAAAUGCACACACUCCAGUCACAAAAAUAUAAAUUCACAUUGGGAAUAACAGGUUUUACUUGGAUACCUAAAAUUAGAUUACUACAUCAAAUGGUCUUUGUAGGGCCAAUAAGACAUUUUUUGCCUUCAAUUACUAAUUGUAGAUACUAUAUUAAAGCAGAUCCCAUAAGGCCAAGCCUGUAGCUGUCAGAGUGGUAUUCUGUAAGAGACUCUGGCUGAUUACUCAUUUCUAGGUUUGCUAUCUUCCUAGCCCAAUACUAUGUUCACUAAAGAGCAAGAAUUAUGAGCUUCAAAGUUAUUUCCUUUAAAACCAUAGAACAAAAAUUCAGGGAAGGAAAAAAUGCAUAUGUGUGUGUUUUCUCUAACACAAGAGAAUUCUCAUCCAGGGUAAAUACUGCCUUUUUAUAUAGCUAUGAGGGGAUAUAAAAUUAAAAAUUACCCCAUGCAAAGCACAUACAUUAAUCAAACCCCGUGCAACCUGUGCCAUGGAAAGAGUAAGAGGAGCAGGGUAAAAUGCAUUGUAUUUCACACUGAUCAAAAUAAAUUGUUCCAUGUCUGUUCAGCUAAAUCAUACAUGCCAGUUUCUGAAGGCAAAAUGAAGUAAUGACACUGUAAUGAACAUUUAAAAUUAUUUUUCAUUUUUCUUAUGAUCUCCAAUCUUUGAAAUGGUUUGUUAAAUCCCCCAAAGCUACAUAUAAAAUGAACUUUUGAUAGUUGAGGUUACGGACUCAUUCAUGCGAUGGAGCCAGGGUUCCAGAAUGUCUCUAUUCAUUUUCGCAGGAGCAGCACUCUGCAGUCUUUCCUGCUCUGCUGAACACUCCUAAUUUUGAUUCAUUCGGUUGGCAUUUUAACCUGAAGGUAUUAAAAAAAAAAAAAAAAAAGGGAUGUUGCAAAGUCUUCAAUAGCUUGUUGGGACUAUGCCAUCCUGGCCAAAACUUUAGGAGUGACUUUAUUCAUAAUUCUUCACAAUUCCAUCCCUUGGUUUGGGCCUACAAUAAAGAGAAUAACAAAGCUCUAAUCUUCAACAGUUUAUUUGACAAUCUAAGAGGCACUGCAUACAUACUAAUAACCAUGAUAUUUCACAAAUUUUACUUGCAUGCACUUCACAGGCUUUAUGGAUGUGUCAGUGAUGCUUACUGUGGUUUUGGAGCAGAUAACUUGGUUAGCCACUACUCCCUCAGCUACAGAACAAUUCUUGUCCAGGAAGCCUUCGUGUUUCCAAGGGCUGAAGGACAAGAAUGUGCAAAAAGAACAGGUAAGAUCAAGACCCUGUCUUCAGCAGGACUCAAAUGAGGUUGAGAAAGUGUCAGACUGAGUUACACCCAUUUUUCUCAUCUUUGUAAACAGGGAAAUGCUUCUACCAGAAGCUGGUCCCCACUGAGACCUUCUCUACUCAAUACCAGUAACCACUUGGGAAGCAAAGGGCAGCUAAAUUAAACUGCUCCACAGGCUGUGGUAAUAUUACCAGUGACAGACCCUGUGGGUCCUGUUGUGUGACACCUUUGUGGUGCCACAAAGCACAGAAGGCCUCAAAAAAACAACCUUGGGUAAUUUCCACAGGGCAGGAGUUCCUCCACUCACCCCACUCCUCCAAAAAUGCGAUACUGCAUUGCCCAUUUCCCUGGUCAGACACGCUUCUUCUUCAUUCAUUUUAGGAAUGUGUUCUGGAAAACCCAAAGCAUUUCUUCCACACUACCUCAGCUUUCCAAGGAAUGAAGAAGAGAUUCUUUUUCCUAGCUCGCUCAGUUGCACCCGGAUGCUUCCUAGAAAGUGUAAAAAGAAGCAUCUGUGUCCCCAGCCAACCUCCGAGGACACCUGGUCAGUGCAACUGUUCAGGCAUUAGGGUUUCUAUUUUGCACGCCUCUGGCCAAAUGUUCAAGACAACAUACUCGUGAUGGCACGCUCAUG
RNAcentral lists this long non-coding RNA (2065 nucleotides) under Corvus moneduloides (New Caledonian crow). RNAcentral's name for it is "lncRNA (ENSCMUG00000019270.1)". Lineage: Eukaryota; Metazoa; Chordata; Aves; Passeriformes; Corvidae. The record is from RNAcentral.